GUCAGGUGAGCCACACCAAAUGUUGUAAUUAAAGUAUAAACAACACAAUUAUUAUGAAACAUCAUAGGAGGAGUGUGAGUAUCAGAGUAUUUAGCAACAUGAGACAAAAGGUAAUACAUUAGUAAUCGACUUAUUUUAGGAGGAGAGUAGUAGUAUAUGGUGAAGCUUUAACGUUAUCAGCAUUGCAUUCUAAAAGCUUGAAUACAAUUGUACAUAAGUUUAUCUAUUUAUAGGUGUGGAAGGUAUUUUGGACAAUUCAU
Molecule: long non-coding RNA, 260 nt
Filed under: Trifolium pratense (red clover)
Lineage: Eukaryota; Viridiplantae; Streptophyta; Magnoliopsida; Fabales; Fabaceae
Description: long non-coding RNA (TPRA_LNC007436)
Source: RNAcentral